This 636-nucleotide ribosomal RNA is filed under the name Enterobacter hormaechei. Its description in RNAcentral is "bacterial SSU rRNA". It matches the Rfam family "Bacterial small subunit ribosomal RNA", at positions 546 to 1185 of the family's 1533-position model. Lineage: Bacteria; Pseudomonadati; Pseudomonadota; Gammaproteobacteria; Enterobacterales; Enterobacteriaceae. The record is from RNAcentral.
CGGAUUCUGGGCGUAAGCGCACGCAGGCGGUCUGUCAAGUCGGAUGUGAAAUCCCCGGGCUCAACCUGGGAACUGCAUUCGAAACUGGCAGGCUAGAGUCUUGUAGAGGGGGGUAGAAUUCCAGGUGUAGCGGUGAAAUGCGUAGAGAUCUGGAGGAAUACCGGUGGCGAAGGCGGCCCCCUGGACAAAGACUGACGCUCAGGUGCGAAAGCGUGGGGAGCAAACAGGAUUAGAUACCCUGGUAGUCCACGCCGUAAACGAUGUCGACUUGGAGGUUGUGCCCUUGAGGCGUGGCUUCCGGAGCUAACGCGUUAAGUCGACCGCCUGGGGAGUACGGCCGCAAGGUUAAAACUCAAAUGAAUUGACGGGGGCCCGCACAAGCGGUGGAGCAUGUGGUUUAAUUCGAUGCAACGCGAAGAACCUUACCUACUCUUGACAUCCAGAGAACUUUCCAGAGAUGGAUUGGUGCCUUCGGGAACUCUGAGACAGGUGCUGCAUGGCUGUCGUCAGCUCGUGUUGUGAAAUGUUGGGUUAAGUCCCGCAACGAGCGCAACCCUUAUCCUUUGUUGCCAGCGGUUAGGCCGGGAACUCAAAGGAGACUGCCAGUGAUAAACUGGAGGAAGGUGGGGAUGACGU